RNAcentral lists this ribosomal RNA (442 nucleotides) under uncultured bacterium. RNAcentral describes it as "bacterial SSU rRNA". It matches the Rfam family "Bacterial small subunit ribosomal RNA", at positions 39 to 477 of the family's 1533-position model. The record is from RNAcentral.
GGCCGCGGGAAUUCGAUUCAGGCCUAACACAUGCAAGUCGAGCGGUAGAGAGAAGCUUGCUUCUCUUGAGAGCGGCGGACGGGUGAGUAAUGCCUAGGAAUCUGCCUGGUAGUGGGGGAUAACGUUCGGAAACGGACGCUAAUACCGCAUACGUCCUACGGGAGAAAGCAGGGGACCUUCGGGCCUUGCGCUAUCAGAUGAGCCUAGGUCGGAUUAGCUAGUUGGUGAGGUAAUGGCUCACCAAGGCUACGAUCCGUAACUGGUCUGAGAGGAUGAUCAGUCACACUGGAACUGAGACACGGUCCAGACUCCUACGGGAGGCAGCAGUGGGGAAUAUUGGACAAUGGGCGAAAGCCUGAUCCAGCCAGGCCGCGUGUGUGAAGAAGGUCUUCGGAUUGUAAAUCAAAGGAAGUUGGGAGGAAGGGCAUUACCUAAUACGUUA